This 449-nucleotide long non-coding RNA is filed under the name Elaeis guineensis (African oil palm). RNAcentral describes it as "long non-coding RNA (EGUI_LNC075122)". The record is from RNAcentral. Lineage: Eukaryota; Viridiplantae; Streptophyta; Magnoliopsida; Arecales; Arecaceae.
UUUCUAUAGCUCCUUCAGAUCAUCGAUUAAAGAUCGUAGAUAUAUAUCAAUUUUAUUAUCUGAUACUUUCGGACCUAGAAUCAACAGUGACAUAAAAAUAAAUGAUUCUUUCAUGCACUUUCAAGGGGAUACAUUAUAUAUAACUAGCAUCAUAGGCCACAUGCUGUAAGAGAUACUCAGAUUGCCAAAGAGAUUAAAUCCAUCUGUCAUUAGACCAAGCCGGAUAUUGCGCACGUCACUCGUAAAGUGUGGAUGCUUUUCAUCGAAGUCUUUUCACACUAAAGAGUCGGUUGGGUGGCUAAGUAUAUUUUUCUUCAAAAUUUGCUGCUCAUGCAUAUAUUUGAACAAGUACCCUGAUGUAAAUUAUCUAAUAAUUCUCCUAUACCACUAUGUUCGACAGGUCUAGCAGCAUCACUAUCAUCUUCAGUAUCAUCAUCGUCACGCACCAC